Molecule: ribosomal RNA, 460 nt
Filed under: uncultured bacterium
Lineage: Bacteria
Description: partial 16S ribosomal RNA
Rfam family: Bacterial small subunit ribosomal RNA
Source: RNAcentral
CCUACGGGUGGCAGCAGUGAGGAAUAUUGGUCAAUGGGCGCGAGCCUGAACCAGCCAAGUCGCGUGAGGGAAGACGGCCCUACGGGUUGUAAACCUCUUUUGCCGGGGAGCAAAGGGCGCCACGUGUGGCGCCACUGAGAGUACCCGGAGAAAAAGCAUCGGCUAACUCCGUGCCAGCACCCGCGGUAAUCAGGGGGAUGCGAGCGUUAUCCGGAUUUUUUGGGUUUAAAGGGUGCGUGGGCGGAAUUUCAAGUCAGCGGUAAAAAUUCGGGGCUCAACCCCGUCGUGCCGUUGAAACUGGUGUUCUUGAGUGGGCGAGAGGUAUGCGGAAUGCGUGGUGUAGCGGUGAAAUGCAUAGAUAUCACGCAGAACUCCGAUUGCGAAGGCAGCAUACCGGCGCCCAACUGACGCUGAAGCACGAAAGCGUGGGUAUCGAACAGGAUUAGAUACCCGUGUAGUC